RNAcentral lists this long non-coding RNA (1334 nucleotides) under Equus asinus (donkey). Its description in RNAcentral is "lncRNA (ENSEASG00005028922.1)". The record is from RNAcentral. Lineage: Eukaryota; Metazoa; Chordata; Mammalia; Perissodactyla; Equidae.
CCAGGGAGAACGCCAUGGGAAGAUGAAGGCAGAGAUCAGGAUGAUGAAUCUACAAGUCAAGGCAUGCCAAAUAUUGCCAGCAAACCACUAGAAGCUAGGACAGAGGCGUGGAACAGAUUCUCCCUCACAGCCCUCAGAAGGAACCACCCCUGCGACAGCUUGAUUUCAGACUGCUAGCCUCUGGAAACAACUAAUAAAAAAGCUUGUUUGGGGCAAUGAAGAGGUGAAAGCACACGUGAGUAAGCAAGAAAAUUGACCUAGAGGAAGUGAUCAAUCUAAACAGCAGAGAAGUAGUGCUUCUGGAAAAAUCUUCAUCACACUCAUUCGCUUUGCAGUAAUGAAGUGGAAAAGGCACCUUAUCAAGACAAGAUUUAUCUUAUGAAGAGGGAAGCUAACGAAUUAAGAAAUUUCCAAGGAUAGCAUAAAACCUGGAGGAAUGAGAAACAAAAGGAGCUCUCUGUUCAGAUUCCUGCCUCUGAAAACCAGGAACAAAACAAAUUAGAAGAGCCUAAGAGCUUUGAAGAUUUUAAGUCUCUGAGCAAUCCAAAUCCUUUCGAAGUUGAAGAAUAUCUUUUUCUCGACAAACAGAAGCAUCCUUUUUAUGUUAAUACAGUCAUGCUAAGAAACAAUGACAGAAUAGUUGGUAUGGGAGUAAUGCCCUGAAAGAGAUGAGUCACUGUCUGAGGCAGAAACCGGAAAGCGUAAAGCUCCCUGUGGGGAAUACAACAAAGACGUGGGAACCAUCAUAGGACGAUCGACGUUGCCUCUGCCAUCACCUGGGUUUGUGAAUGGCUUCAUCAGCACUUCAUGCUAACACUAUUAAAUAUGAAGUGUCAAGCUCGGCACUCACAGAAGGUGACCUGGACUAGAGCCAGGCCCCCAGCUGAGCCUGUGAUGAGCAUCCAGGAGCUGCUCAAAUGAGGGAUCAAUGACUUGCAAGUUUACCAGGCAGAAUAAUGAAUAGAAGUGGGACAACUGCAAGCAAAAUUGGCAUGAGAAAUGAGGGUACUGAGAGAGUGGCCAAGAGUAGGGCACAGCUGCAGAAAGUUGAGGAACUAGCCCGCUAGAAUCUGACCUGGGAGGUACAAACACAGUGCGGAAAACUUGGUAGUCCUAUGAGGAUUUCGGGGGCAGAGAAAAUACUCUGUAUGAUACCAUAAAGAUGAAUACAUGUCUUUAAACGUUUGUCCAAACCCAUAGAAUGUACAACACCUCUCUGGCGGGGCAUGUUGAUAAUGGGGGAGAUUAUGUUUGUGACGGGCCAGGAAAUCUCUGCACUUUUCCCUCAAUUUUGCUGUGAACCUAAAAUUGCUCUAAAAAUAAAUGAAGUCAAU